UUGGAAGUCUUCUGUAAAGAAGAUCCUAUUCCCUUUAAGUAAGAGGCAGCUGCAUACACUGAGUCUGGAUGAAAGAGAAUGGACUUCAGAGUUGAACGGCCCUCUUCUGGAAUGCAAACUUUUCAACUUAGUGGGAAUUGCUGCUUGUGCUGCCUACAUAAGACUCGCCUUAGCAAAGGAGACGGCACAGAGCUACGGUCUCUCACUCCACUCUGAACGGAAGCAGGAGGUUUCCUCAGCAAUGGAAUACAUUUUGCUUUAUAUGAGCAGUCUUCCCUACGAGAAAUGUGGGAAGUAGCUUUUAGUAGUUGUCCAAUAAUCAGCACCAUAAUCUUAUUUAUUGUCUAGGGCUGGGGGAAGGCCUAUCUCAGUUCCAAAGUUCAACUCAGUAUACACCUCUCCACUGCAGCCUAAGUUAAAAAAAAAAAAA
Molecule: long non-coding RNA, 430 nt
Filed under: Mustela putorius furo (domestic ferret)
Lineage: Eukaryota; Metazoa; Chordata; Mammalia; Carnivora; Mustelidae
Description: lncRNA (ENSMPUG00000024669.1)
Source: RNAcentral